Molecule: transfer RNA, 93 nt
Filed under: Felis catus (domestic cat)
Lineage: Eukaryota; Metazoa; Chordata; Mammalia; Carnivora; Felidae
Also listed under: 4 other names
Rfam family: tRNA
About the family: Transfer RNA (tRNA) molecules are approximately 80 nucleotides in length. Their secondary structure includes four short double-helical elements and three loops (D, anti-codon, and T loops). Further hydrogen bonds mediate the characteristic L-shaped molecular structure. tRNAs have two regions of fundamental functional importance: the anti-codon, which is responsible for specific mRNA codon recognition, and the 3' end, to which the tRNAs corresponding amino acid is attached (by aminoacyl-tRNA synthetases). tRNAs cope with the degeneracy of the genetic code in two manners: having more than one tRNA (with a specific anti-codon) for a particular amino acid; and 'wobble' base-pairing, i.e. permitting non-standard base-pairing at the 3rd anti-codon position.
Source: Rfam by way of RNAcentral
GCCUGGGUGGCUCAGUCGAUUAAGCAUCUGACUCUUGGAGUUGGUUCAGGUCAUGAUCUCACGGUUUUGUGGGUUCGAGUCCUAUUUCAGGCU